Molecule: ribosomal RNA, 219 nt
Filed under: uncultured bacterium
Lineage: Bacteria
Description: partial 16S ribosomal RNA
Rfam family: Bacterial small subunit ribosomal RNA
Source: RNAcentral
AACGUCUCAGUUCGGACUGUGGUCUGCAACUCGACCACACGAAGCUGGAAUCGCUAGUAAUCGCGAAUCAGCAUGUCGCGGUGAAUACGUUCCCGGGUCUUGUACACACCGCCCGUCACACCAUGGGAGUUGGAAAUACCCGAAGCCUGUGAGCUAACUGUAAAGAGGCAGCAGUCGAAGGUAGAGCCAAUGAUUGGGGUGAAGUCGUAACAAGGUACC